UACGAAGGGGGCUAGCGUUGCUCGGAAUCACUGGGCGUAAAGGGUGCGUAGGCGGGCAGGUAAGUCCGUGGUGAAAUCUCUGAGCUUAACUCAGAAACUGCCAUGGAUACUAUUUGUCUUGAAUAUUGUGGAGGUAAGCGGAAUAUGUCAUGUAGCGGUGAAAUGCUUAGAUAUGACAUAGAACACCAAUUGCGAAGGCAGCUUACUACACAGUUAUUGACGCUGAGGCACGAAAGCGUGGGGAGCGAACAGG
Molecule: ribosomal RNA, 253 nt
Filed under: uncultured bacterium
Lineage: Bacteria
Description: partial 16S ribosomal RNA
Rfam family: Bacterial small subunit ribosomal RNA
Source: RNAcentral